UACGGAGGGUGCAAGCGUUAUCCGGAUUUACUGGGUUUAAAGGGUGCGUAGGUGGGUCUGUAAGUCAGUGGUGAAAUCUCCGAGCUUAACUCGGAAACUGCCAUUGAUACUAUAGAUCUUGAAUUAUCUGGAGGUAAGCGGAAUAUGUCAUGUAGCGGUGAAAUGCGCAGAUAUCGGGAGGAACACCAAUGGCGAAGGCAGCUCGCUGGGACGGUACUGACGCUGAGGCGCGAAAGCGUGGGGAGCAAACAGG
Molecule: ribosomal RNA, 253 nt
Filed under: uncultured bacterium
Lineage: Bacteria
Description: partial 16S ribosomal RNA
Rfam family: Bacterial small subunit ribosomal RNA
Source: RNAcentral